CAGUAGCCGCGGGAAUACGGAGGGUGCAAGCGUUAUCCGGAUUUAUUGGGUUUAAAGGGUCCGUAGGCGGACUUAUAAGUCAGUGGUGAAAGCCUGUCGCUUAACGAUAGAACUGCCAUUGAUACUGUAAGUCUUGAGUAUAUUUGAGGUAGCUGGAAUAAGUAGUGUAGCGGUGAAAUGCAUAGAUAUUACUUAGAACACCAAUUGCGAAGGCAGGUUACCAAGAUAUAACUGACGCUGAGGGACGAAAGCGUGGGUAGCGAACAGGAUUAGAGACCCCAGUAGUCCCUGUCUCUUAUAC
This 301-nucleotide ribosomal RNA is filed under the name uncultured bacterium. Its description in RNAcentral is "partial 16S ribosomal RNA". It matches the Rfam family "Bacterial small subunit ribosomal RNA", at positions 509 to 807 of the family's 1533-position model. The record is from RNAcentral.